RNAcentral lists this ribosomal RNA (366 nucleotides) under Triticum aestivum (bread wheat). RNAcentral's name for it is "partial small subunit ribosomal RNA". Lineage: Eukaryota; Viridiplantae; Streptophyta; Magnoliopsida; Poales; Poaceae. The record is from RNAcentral.
AUGACCGUCACUUUGGAGGAUAUUGCGAUGAUCUCCGGUCUUCCGAUCGAGGGCAGAGCUCUUACCGGGAAGGUGAAGUCCGAGGGGUGGCGACAAAGGGUUGCAGGUUUGGUUGGUGUUGAACCUCCCCCGUGGAUUCAUGAAACAAAGAAGGAUCCUAGGCCAUCUGGUGUUUUGUUCUUGUGGCUACAAGAACAUUUUUACGAGUGCCCAGAGAAUGCCAGUCCGGCUGUUGUGGAGAGGUACGCCAGGGCUUACUUAUGGAAUCUUUUGACCCAAGUGGUGUUUCCUGACGGCACGGGAGACACAGCCUCGUGGAUGUUCUUGGACCCUCUUCGUAACUGGGAUGUUAAGUGGAGUUGGGGG